RNAcentral lists this ribosomal RNA (459 nucleotides) under uncultured bacterium. RNAcentral's name for it is "partial 16S ribosomal RNA". It matches the Rfam family "Bacterial small subunit ribosomal RNA", at positions 338 to 795 of the family's 1533-position model. The record is from RNAcentral.
CCUACGGGUGACAGCAGUGAGGAAUAUUGGUCAAUGGUCGGGAGACUGAACCAGCCAAGCCGCGUGAGGGAUGAAGGUACAGAGUAUCGUAAACCUCUUUUGUCAGGGAACCCAGGCGGGGACGUGUCCCCGGAUGAGUGUACCUGAAGAAAAAGCAUCGGCUAACUCCGUGCCAGCGGCCGCGGUAAUACGGAGGAUGCGAGCGUUAUCCGGAUUUAUGGGGUUAACAGGGUGCGCAGGCGGUCUGUUAAGUUAGCGGUCAAAGCCCGGGGCUCAACCCCGGGCCGCCGUUGAAACUGGCAGUCUCGAGUUGGAGAGAGGUAUGCGGAAUGCGCGGUGUAGCGGUGAAAUGCAUAGAUAUCGCGCAGAACUCCGAUUGCGAAGGCAGCAUGUCGGCUCCACACUGACGCUGAGGCACGAAAGCGUGGGUAUCGAACAGGAUUAGAUACCCGAGUAGUC